ACUCCUGCGGGAGGCAACAGUGGGGAAUAUUGGACAAUGGGCGCAAGCCUGAUCCAGCCAUGCCGCGUGAGUGAUGAAGGCCCUAGGGUUGUAAAGCUCUUUCACCGGUGAAGAUAAUGACGGUAACCGGAGAAGAAGCCCCGGCUAACUUCGUGCCAGCAGCCGCGGUAAUACGAAGGGGGCUAGCGUUGUUCGGAUUUACUGGGCGUAAAGCGCACGUAGGCGGACUAUUAAGUCAGGGGUGAAAUCCCGGGGCUCAACCCCGGAACUGCCUUUGAUACUGGUAGUCUUGAGUUCGAGAGAGGUGAGUGGAAUUCCGAGUGUAGAGGUGAAAUUCGUAGAUAUUCGGAGGAACACCAGUGGCGAAGGCGGCUCACUGGCUCGAUACUGACGCUGAGGUGCGAAAGCGUGGGGAGCAAACAGGAUUAGAAACCCGGGUAGUCCCAUG
Molecule: ribosomal RNA, 448 nt
Filed under: uncultured organism
Description: partial 16S ribosomal RNA
Rfam family: Bacterial small subunit ribosomal RNA
Source: RNAcentral